This 107-nucleotide microRNA precursor is filed under the name Canis lupus dingo (dingo). Its description in RNAcentral is "mir-8834 microRNA precursor family". It matches the Rfam family "mir-8834 microRNA precursor family". Lineage: Eukaryota; Metazoa; Chordata; Mammalia; Carnivora; Canidae. The record is from Rfam by way of RNAcentral.
AGGAGGAACAACCACAGUGGAGGCGGCCAGCUCUGGAGCCCUGGAUUCAGCCCCUGCAGUAACUACAGAGCUCUGGGUUUGCAGGGGCCUGUAUGCUCCGGGGCGGG